This is a transfer RNA of Camelus ferus (Wild Bactrian camel), 72 nucleotides long. It matches the Rfam family "tRNA". From Rfam's summary of the family: Transfer RNA (tRNA) molecules are approximately 80 nucleotides in length. NCBI's taxonomy places the organism in Eukaryota, Metazoa, Chordata, Mammalia, Artiodactyla, Camelidae. The record is from Rfam.
GAGGGUAUAGCUCAGUGGUAGAGUGUGUGCUUAGCAUGCACGAGGUCCUGGGUUCAAUCCCCAGUACUUCCA